RNAcentral lists this transfer RNA (81 nucleotides) under Muribaculaceae bacterium. RNAcentral describes it as "tRNA-Leu". It matches the Rfam family "tRNA". From Rfam's summary of the family: Transfer RNA (tRNA) molecules are approximately 80 nucleotides in length. Their secondary structure includes four short double-helical elements and three loops (D, anti-codon, and T loops). The record is from RNAcentral. Lineage: Bacteria; Pseudomonadati; Bacteroidota; Bacteroidia; Bacteroidales; Muribaculaceae.
GGGCCACUGGUGAAAUGGUAGACACGCCUGAUUUAGGGUCAGGUCUCGUAAGAGGUACAGGUUCGAGUCCUGUGUAGCCCA